ACGUGAUCUGAGUUCAGACCGGAGUAAUCCAGGUCAGUUUCUAUCUAUAAAGGGCUUUUUCUAGUACGAAAGGACCGAAAAAGCAUGGCCAAUGACAAAUUAAGCCAUAUCACUAAAUUAUGACCGCAACUUAAUUAUUAAAAGACCUUCCAUUUAACUCAAAACAAGAGAA
Molecule: ribosomal RNA, 172 nt
Filed under: Boana ericae
Lineage: Eukaryota; Metazoa; Chordata; Amphibia; Anura; Hylidae
Description: Hypsiboas ericae partial 16S ribosomal RNA
Source: RNAcentral